CCCUAUUGGCCAGGGGGGAGAGCAAAGGUGGGGGCUCCAAAAGGAGGAAGUUUCAAAUUUUAUUUAAAGGCAAGCAUCUGGCCUUGCAAAAUCACUCUGGCUGCAGUCCUCCUUGGCUUGCUGAGUGCUUCUGUGACUGCAGCUUUGCUGAUAAACUUCCACAAAGGGCAGCAGCUCUCCUGACUUCUGGUAGGAGAACUUGAGUUCCUGAAGAAGAGGAAAGACACCAAAUUAGAAAAAGAUGUCUCCGAUAUCUUACCUCCUUUACUCUGAGGGGAUUCUUUCUGCAGCUUCAGAAUCAGCUGAUCAAUUCCAGCUUACCUGUAUAUAGUAAGAGUCGUUGGGAAUCACAUAGAGGUGAAGGAUUGUGGGUCUAUUCCUCUGAUAAAGCUGCACCACAGAAUGGAUAGGGAUGAAAUUAAAUAGAUUGCAGAUGCAUUUAUAUAUCGCGCCCAGCAGAGAGAAUUUUGGAUUCUCCAACACAACAUGAAACGGGCUCACCCGCGAUGGUGUCUCCAGGAUCAUUACUCCAUCAAUAAAAUGAGCAAUUUUCAUCUGA
Molecule: long non-coding RNA, 559 nt
Organism: Hemicordylus capensis (graceful crag lizard)
Lineage: Eukaryota; Metazoa; Chordata; Lepidosauria; Squamata; Cordylidae
Exons: 3
Source: RefSeq, a predicted model, not a curated record